AGGUCCUGGCCGGAACUCCGCUGCUCCUGGACCCAGCGGAAGAAAGUUCUAGACUAGUCUAACUCCAGCAGCCCUGCGGCUCUGCUCCACGUUUCCUGGCGCCGCCGCCUGGCAGACAAAGCCGCCCUGCACGCCCCUAAGAGCCCUGGCUGGAGGGGGUGAAGUUCCUUUCUCCAACCUGACGAGGGGAAAGAGCCUGAAACCAAUCUUUCCAAAGAAAGGCCAUGGUAGAAAGUUUCAUUAUCCGCCAGAGCCAGAAACAGGUUUCUUCCCAAUAAACUGAACUCGGAAGCUGCCCCUGGCCUGAAGCAGCUGUGGGCAGGCUGAGGAUGCAUGGGGACCAUUCAACCGAAAUUUCUGAGUCCACAGGUAGAUCAGAUGUUAACCAGUUGGAGCAACAGUGACGAAGCAGCCAAGAAACCCAAGCUGAAUUUUAUUAUUCAUGCCAAAGACCGCAGACCCCACCCUAACAUUUGCAAGACCAGGGUUCUCCUACCCUAUGUUUAAGUUUAUAGAGACUAUACAAGCCAACAAAAUGAGUUUUAUUCUCCUUUGAGAAACAGACUUCCUUAACAUCCAGGAAGGAGCAACUUGGUAUACAGAAACCUCGCGUACUUUGGAGUUCAACCCUGUAACUUAGCAGGUAAGGAGCACGUGAUCACAGCCCGUGGACACAGCCAGUGGCCUGUCCAUCCCCUGCUGGCCUUGCUUCCUAUACUGGUUCCACUCAGCAACAGGUGGGGCGUGGCACCUGUGUACACACCUGUGCCCAAUCAGCCUAUCCGUCCCUCCCAACACAGCCACCCUUAGGCUGUCACAGAGACAGGAGUGGUUAUUCCAGCUGCUUGAUCUUACAUCGAGAGAACUGGAAGAGAAGCAGGGUCCAUGGCAGGCAUUUUUUAACUUGGAUCUAAAAAGACCUCCGAAAAAAAAUUUCCAAGAUCAUGUCCCAGAUAUAUGUAUUUGGCGUUCUCCAUAGUAAAUAAGCUACCAAGACACUUAGAUAAGUGCGAAUUGUGCAUCACUUGAUACUUCUUGAGAUUUAACUAUCUAAUAUCUAAACACAGUGGUGCAUAUAGCAUCUACUAAUACAUCAAUGAGGAGAGAAUUAUUCUGGCUCUGGAAGUUGGCAUGUGACAAGGAAAAGAGGGAUCCAGACCUAUAGUAUCCAAGUUAGUUAAGGGUGGCUAUCUAGAGCUUAAAAUUUAUCUACAAUUCUGUAGGAAGUGGGGUUUUUAUUCAAUUUCACUUUUAUUAAAUUCAGCUUUAAAUGCUAUUACAUAUGUGUUGAACAGCACAAGUCUGUGCCUACAGUGGCUAAGAAAAGUAAGAAAUCAUAGCCAUUAUUAAGUCACUUAAAAUUUACAACUAACUAUAGGUCACAAACUCAUAUUUUCAGUUAUAGUGAGGUUGGUCACCUUUCUGUAGAAUUUAUAUGAAGAUGAUUACCCCUCCCCCUCCCAUAAAAUCAAUACCUGUCAUCAUUACCUGUUCUCACCAUAAAAAUAAAAUCUUACCAUAAUAAUUUGAAAGCUUUUAUUUGCCAUGUUGCUGUUGAUAUAGCCAUAGACUGGCGUAUCAUAGACUACAUGAAAAUGUUGAUAACUAUCACGGAGGUAAAUGUGUUUGACUCUUCUAAGACGUACUUAGCAUGCGCUUUAAGUUUGGCGUCAGAUUUGUACUUCACGAUGGUUGAGAAUAUUAAAAUAUAAAAUCACCAGGAAAGGGUAGGUCACAAAUAAGACCAUGAAUCUAGAGACAAACAUGGAUGAAACAAUCCUAUUCUGUGGGCCAGCUCAGCUUUCUUCCAAAGAAGUCAUUCCGAUGAGUGUUGAAAAUAAGUCAUUUAAAAGAAAAAAAUCACAGAGUGGAGCCGGCUUUAGAAAUUCCCAACACUGUAGACCCCAGAGUGUGCCGAGCGCUGAGUCUAUGCAAGCACCGGGACAUGGAGCCCUCCCUUAGAACUGCAUAGAUCUCAGAGGACGAUGGAGUCCGAGCUUGACAGCUUCACCAGAAUUUAAGCUGGAAUUAAGCUACUCUCACCCUGACAUCUUCUCGCCAGACAGGUCCAGUGACUGCUGCUCCUCCCUCAGGCCUGGAGCACGUGGCAACAUUUGAAACUGUAGGGCUUCCUGGGUCUUGAGUUCUCACUGUGUCUGUGACUGUCCCAUAGCAGAAAGUUCUAGAAACUGAGAUGUUACUUCGUAACCAUACAGGAACAGGGCAGCAUCACGUUGGCUGUUGCUUUAAGGAGGGGGUAUGGACCACAUUCAGCAUUUCAUCAAGAACAGUGGUUCUCAGCCUUCCUAAUGCUGUAACCCUUUUAAUACAGUUCCUCAUAUUGUGACACUCAUGUUUUGUUGCUACAUCAACACUCUAAUUUUGCUACUAUUAUUAAUGGUAAUGUAAAUAUCUAAAUAUAGAUAACCCUAAAGGGGUUGAGACUCCCAAGUUGACACUCACUGGUCUAGAGACCAGUUGAGACCCGCUGGUCUUGUAAGGUUUGUAAGAGAUAUCAAACAUGCUUUGUUUUUCUUGAUUUAAAAUAAAAUACUGUAUAAACUGUG
RNAcentral lists this long non-coding RNA (2567 nucleotides) under Mus musculus (house mouse). Its description in RNAcentral is "long non-coding RNA chr5:50059095-50061662". Lineage: Eukaryota; Metazoa; Chordata; Mammalia; Rodentia; Muridae. The record is from RNAcentral.